GUCUGUGUGGCGUAGUGGUUUGAGUACUGGACUAUAAUUCUGGAGACCAGGGUUUGAAUCCAUGCUGAGCUA
This is a non-coding RNA of Phrynosoma platyrhinos (Desert horned lizard), 72 nucleotides long. NCBI's taxonomy places the organism in Eukaryota, Metazoa, Chordata, Lepidosauria, Squamata, Phrynosomatidae. The record is from the annotation of a GenBank genome assembly.